UUGAACGCUGGCGGAAUGCUUUACACAUGCAAGUCGAGCGGCAGCGCGGGGGCAACCCUGGCGGCGAGCGGCGAACGGGUGAGUAAUACAUCGGAACGUGCCCGAUCGUGGGGGAUAACGCAGCGAAAGCUGUGCUAAUACCGCAUACGAUCUACGGAUGAAAGCGGGGGAUCGCAAGACCUCGCGCGGACGGAGCGGCCGAUGGCAGAUUAGGUAGUUGGUGGGAUAAAAGCUUACCAAGCCGACGAUCUGUAGCUGGUCUGAGAGGACGACCAGCCACACUGGGACUGAGACACGGCCCAGACUCCUACGGGAGGCAGCAGUGGGGAAUUUUGGACAAUGGGCGCAAGCCUGAUCCAGCCAUGCCGCGUGAGUGAAGAAGGCCUUCGGGUUGUAAAGCUCUUUCAGACGGAAAGAAAUCGGGCGCGUGAAUAGCGUGCCUGGAUGACGGUACUGUCAGAAGAAGCACCGGCUAACUACGU
Molecule: ribosomal RNA, 482 nt
Filed under: uncultured bacterium
Lineage: Bacteria
Description: bacterial SSU rRNA
Rfam family: Bacterial small subunit ribosomal RNA
Source: RNAcentral